CAAGUCGAACGCGACUUAGGCUUCGGUCUAAGUUGAGUGGCGAACGGGUGAGUAACACGUGGGUGACCUACCUUCGAGUGGGGGAUAACGUCCCGAAAGGGACGCUAAUACCGCAUAACAUCCUGCCUUUGAACAGGCGGAGAUCAAAGCCGGGGAUCGCAAGACCUGGCGCUUGAUGAGGGGCCCGCGUCUGAUUAGCUAGUUGGUGGGGUAAUGGCUCACCAAGGCGACGAUCAGUAUCCGGCCUGAGAGGGCGGACGGACACACUGGGACUGAGACACGGCCCAGACUCCUACGGGAGGCAGCAGCGGGGAAUUGUUCGCAAUGGGCGCAAGCCUGACGACGCAACGCCGCGUGGAGGAUGAAGGUCUUCGGAUUGUAAACUCCUGUUGCUCGGGACGAAAAGCUCCGACCUAAUACGUUGGAGUCUGACGGUACCGAGUGAGGAAGCCCCGGCUAACUCUGUGCCAGCAGCCGCGGUAAUACAGGGGGGGCAAGCGUUGUUCGGAAUUACUGGGCGUAAAGGGCGCGUAGGCGGCCUGCUAAGUCGAACGUGAAAUCCCUGGGCUCAACCCAGGAACUGCGUCCGAUACUGGUUGGCUUGAAUCCGGGAGAGGGAUGUGGAAUUCCAGGUGUAGCGGUGAAAUGCGUAGAUAUCUGGAGGAACACCGGUGGCGAAGGCGACAUCCUGGACCGGUAUUGACGCUGAGGCGCGAAAGCCAGGGGAGCAAACGGGAUUAGAUACCCCGGUAGUCCUGGCCCUAAACGAUGAAUGCUUGGUGUGGCGGGUAUCGAUCCC
RNAcentral lists this ribosomal RNA (799 nucleotides) under uncultured Bacillota bacterium. RNAcentral's name for it is "bacterial SSU rRNA". It matches the Rfam family "Bacterial small subunit ribosomal RNA", at positions 58 to 839 of the family's 1533-position model. The record is from RNAcentral. Lineage: Bacteria; Bacillati; Bacillota.